ACAUUCCAAAGUGAUAAAUGAAUAGCAAACAGUUUUUUGCCAGGGCGACUCUAAGGCAUUGCAUCUUGCGAAUGCUCCACUAGAGCUGAUCAUUUGACUACCGAAUCUUGUAUUCAGAUCAACUGCCGCGUGGAACUUGACCCAAGCAUUCGCAAUUGCUUGUCUGACAACUUGAAGCAACUAGGGACUUGCAUCAGAUGUUACCAACGUAUUCAUCCACAUCGAUACCAUGCUCUCCACUUUCCUUCUCAAUUCUAGUCGCUGUGGUCAGAACGACUUUGUAGUCUCGGUUCGAGUACACUCUAACAGAAGUCAAGAGAGGGAUAAAAAUAUAGCUCCAAUGUUGACAUGGUUCAUACAGUGAAUUUAGCUGUACCAGCACCUAACCAUCCACCUUCAACUCCAUUCUUCGUCCUUGCUGCCAUGUCCCUUCAUCCAUCUAUUCCUCGUCUAGUAUUUAUGCAAAAAAUGUAUUAUCUGGCAUUGCUUUCUUGGGAUCCUGAAAAUGAAGUGCGUCUUGUUGAAUUAAGGUGCACUCACAGCAUAUGUGCUGCGGUGCACGUACGCAUAAUCUACCAAUUACCCAAUCAAUCCAUUUCACACCUCUCCCAUACCAACAACAACAACAACAACAACAGCCAAUCACACUCCAUCAUGCGUAUGCAUGCUGGACAGCCAAUUGGCUGCGGUGUGCAUACGCAUUAUUUCCUCCUCACGACGAGACGUGGCCUAAAUCAUCCCCGAGUGCGUGCACAUAAAGCAUGUAGGCUACGCUGUUCGUUAAAAUGGUCUGUACGCCAGUUGCAUAGCAACCGACUCAGAGGCUACCAUGUCAAACACUUCUUGCACUUCUUGCUUCGACAGAAGUGUUCAAAUGAAAUCUGAGUUCACGUGGGCUAAAUCGAUGAAUGUGAAGCUAAAUUUCUUCUCUCUAACCUAAACCGGUAGUUCGAACAAACAAAGUAUUACACAGCCCCUCUCUUCUUUCGAGCGUCGUCCCCGACGCUCCCCUUGGUCAGCCUCCCGUGUCAGCCAUCACAACGUAAUCUGUGCUGCGAGAAGCACCCACGAGCUAACCAUCCCAGUUGUCGAGAUUCGAACGCAUGUGUUCCUGUAGUGCUAUCAAUUCCGCGUAGCACUCAGUGCAGCAAAUGCGCGCUCCUUGGCCGUCCUCUCCCACGACACUGUGGUCCCAUGAAAGAUGGAGGUACGAAUCCAAGCUUUCGAAUGAGUCGAGCCUCACACAACACAUAUUGCGAUUCCAGGCUUAAUUGAUACCGUGGAAGAAACGCAAGGGCAUCGUAGAAACCUGAGCAAAUGUGGCGGUCGGGCGUCAUAGGAACAAAAUGCAUGCGAUCCAAGUGUGCAAAGCAUAAAACGAUGUUAUCCAAUGGCAUCCUGCACAUUCUACAUCUGGCAACAGGAGAGAGAGCUUACGGAGGAUGCUUGACCACAACGUCGCAGGUCUCUCUUGGCAGUUCCACUGCACUUGGAGUUCACGGCUAGUGUCGCUUCAGUUGUUAAUAGCUUCCCUCCCUGUCGAACACGAGGGCGAGGGAGAUGCCGAAGCUGGACGUCGAUCUCAGCCCUUGUUACGAGAUACCAGAGGUUCUCUCAUCCAUAGCACAUGCACUUCUUUCACACCGCCAAAAUUUGCUAGAAGCGACAUGGAGCAGGAUAAAAUCCAUCGAAGUCGGAUCCACUUUCCGCUGUCACCAAUGUAGCGUCCCGAGACUCCCUUUAAGGUAAAAGAAGGCAUAGUACGGGGGGUGGAAUACAUGUAUUCUGGAAACAGAGGGUUUGGGGGCUGUUGGCACGGCCCGGGAAAAACCCACGUUGGAAACGUUGCACGUGUGCGCACGAAACCCGCACUUCAAACAAACAAAAGUACUACACCUACAUGCAUUGAAAAGGCACUUAAACUAGCAUGUAUCAUGUGCCUAAGACAGUAGUAUUUUACUUGCACUUAAAUUUAGUUGAAUUAUAAUCAAAUUAUUGCUACGCUGGACUCGAGACUUAUCAGAAGGCAGAAGAACACAUAACACAUAUGUAAUGUAACAGACAGGAAGAAACUGGAGCUGCUGGCAUUGUUCAGAGGCUAGCCCAGUCUGCAAAGGAAAUCCAUCUAACCCGAUUCGUAGUAACGGAAUCUAGAGUCAAGCAAGCAACAAAGCAUUACGACUGCAGUUUAACUCGAUAAGUGGAAGGGGACUGUAAUACAUUGUUUGUUCGAACUGCCGGUUUCGGUCGCUUGGGUGGUCAUCUUGUACUAGCCAAUUCCCCGGCCCUCCCUCCGUGCCAACAGCCGCCAAGCCCUCUGGUUCCAGAAUAUAUAUUCUACUUUGUCACUAAGCCUUCUAUUACUUUAGGGGAACACUCAGGACGCUACAGGGACAAUGUCUUUGGAAUGUGGGGCCGUGAAAAUUAAUCCGUUCUACUUUCUUCCCACCUCCUCUUUUCCUCCUUUAGGCACGUCAGACCACCCAUGUAAGACCGUAAGUUAUUCGGCCUAUAUAUACGCGAUAUAUCGCCUUUGUAAUGUAACAUUUUCGCCAAUCAAUUCUUCUAAAACCUCCCUUUUGGUAUCCACUUAAUAGUCACUAAUUUCUCUUUAAAACAGGUGAGCAGGAAACACUUUCUCAUUAUCUUUAAGAAGAAUAAAGAUGCCCAAUUCAUCCUAUUAGCCACAUUAUCAAACUGGCACAGUUAACUUGAAUUCUAGUUGAAUUAUAAUCAAAUUAUUGCUACGCUCCACUCGAGACUUAUCAGAAGGCAGAAGAACACAUAACACAUAUGUAA
RNAcentral lists this unclassified non-coding RNA (2799 nucleotides) under Taenia solium (pork tapeworm). Its description in RNAcentral is "partial external transcribed spacer". Lineage: Eukaryota; Metazoa; Platyhelminthes; Cestoda; Cyclophyllidea; Taeniidae. The record is from RNAcentral.